Long non-coding RNA from Plodia interpunctella (Indianmeal moth), 1645 nucleotides. RefSeq lists it as uncharacterized. Lineage: Eukaryota; Metazoa; Arthropoda; Insecta; Lepidoptera; Pyralidae. The record is from RefSeq and is a predicted model, not a curated record. The transcript is spliced from 3 exons.
AAUCUCAAUCUCAAUUUAGUCUCAAUGCAAUUCCAAUCACAAUUUUGUUUGUUACUCUUGAAGUCAUUACUAUUGCGAUUGUAUUGGCAUUGGGAUUGUCUCGUAAUUGUCGAUUCCACUGUACGUCAACAUGACAUCAACCUGUCAGCCACGGAAAUAGAACAAAUGAAUGAACGAAAACUUUAAUAAAAAUUAUAAAAUUUAAGUAAUUUUAAAGAAAAUUAUUUAUAUUCAGAGGUACUUUUAUCAAAAAUGCUUAUUUCUUACUAAUAACAUAUUUUUUAGACAAGAAUGAUCAAAUUAAAUUUUUGAAUCGGCUUAUUUGGCUGUAUGAGUUUAUUCCUGUGUCUCAACAUGUGUAGAGUUUACAAAAAAAAGUCAUAACAUAAAACAACCAGCCGACGGCCGGUUACACUUACUUAUUAAACCUAUACAAAAAGAAAUAAAUCAAUCAGCUGAAGCUGAAAAUCCAUAUUGUGUUUUAAGUGCUCGGCGCUCUUAAGUUUGUGGGACGAAGUUACCAAAAAUGAAGUUUAAAGUUGCUACAAUAUUCACGGCACAACAACGUUGUUUCUUCUUUGUUUACACUCCGAAAUUAAGUAUUGGGCAGAAAAGAAGUCUGCCUUGAAGAAGCUGUGCAACGGGCUCAGUCCAUGAGGCGCACUGGCGGUAGCUUAGAUAUGGUGCUAGGGCUGUCACUACUUUUUAUUUAUUUGUGGCAGUCAGUGGCAGUCAUGGGUGGUGGGUGACUCUCUUGCCACAGGUACCAGGGGAAUAGCUGUAGACCCCUUUCCACAAAGUAAUUCUCGCCCUUCUAAAUUAAUAGACCUGCCAUCCACAUCACAGGCUGCCACUGAAACCCUGGAAAUAGAGCAAGAAAUUCAUAUUCAUAAUCCACAGCCUCCUGUGGAGGCAGGGCUGCAGGUAGAACACAGCGAGCAGCAAGGUGAAAAAAGUUUUGUAGGCAUUAUAUGAUUCCAUACUAAUAUUUAUGAAGUUUUGUGUAGAUUUUUAAAUGUUAUUUAAAUAAUAAUUUAUUAAUUAUUACAAAUUAUAUUAGUGUUCUCUGUAUUUUAGGUCAAUAAAGAUUAUAAACAAUAAAUAUAUUUUUUAAAUAAUGAUUGUUUUUAUACUUCCUGUGAGGAUAUUCCCAACCAAAUAUUACUCAUUAUCACACACCACAUGCUGCCCACAAUUGUCGCACAAGAUUUGCUCUAGCUUCUAUACCCCUUUGCAGCUCUAUAGAAGCUCCAUCUCUUUCUUGUAGUGCAGGUUCUACAUCAACAGUUAGGUCUGUAUGUUAUUAGGGUUCUCAUCAUCUUCCACUAUUAAAUGUGCCCGGUUACACAUAUUGUGGAGCAUGCAGCAAGUGUUUAUAAUUUUUGUUGCUACAACAGGGUAAUAAUGUAACACUCUAUAUAUUAUGUGUUUAUGCAGAACACUCGGGCUGUUUAAUGCUGCACUCACAUCCCUCAAUGCUCGAGAUAAUGAUUGCUGUGACAUGGGAGUACCUAGUAUCCCGCCAGUCGCAAAGAAUGAAAGUGCUAUUAGUAUCUGUAAACCAAAACCAAUUUAUUAAACACAGGUUCUUUUGUGUUUCAGUAUCACAAACAAACACAUAAUUUCAAACAAAAUUACCUUGUAU